Molecule: non-coding RNA, 111 nt
Filed under: Clostridium autoethanogenum
Lineage: Bacteria; Bacillati; Bacillota; Clostridia; Eubacteriales; Clostridiaceae
Description: Azaaromatic sequence
Rfam family: azaaromatic riboswitch aptamer (yjdF RNA)
Source: RNAcentral
GUUAAUAGAGAUAAAAACACAGUUUUGGUUGGUAGUCCAAAACUUGGCUUGUACUUUAUAAGUUAGCAGUAACCUGCCCUCCUGGGGUUGUCCAUUCUCUAGAUUUUUUAU